This 467-nucleotide ribosomal RNA is filed under the name uncultured bacterium. Its description in RNAcentral is "partial 16S ribosomal RNA". It matches the Rfam family "Bacterial small subunit ribosomal RNA", at positions 28 to 506 of the family's 1533-position model. The record is from RNAcentral.
GACGAACGCUGGCGGCGUGCUUAACACAUGCAAGUCGAACGGAAAGGCCCUGCUUUUGUGGGGUGCUCGAGUGGCGAACGGGUGAGUAACACGUGAGUAACCUGCCCUUGACUUUGGGAUAACUUCAGGAAACUGGGGCUAAUACCGGAUAGGAGCUCCUGCUGCAUGGUGGGGGUUGGAAAGUUUCGGCGGUUGGGGAUGGACUCGCGGCUUAUCAGCUUGUUGGUGGGGUAGUGGCUUACCAAGGCUUUGACGGGUAGCCGGCCUGAGAGGGUGACCGGCCACAUUGGGACUGAGAUACGGCCCAGACUCCUACGGGAGGCAGCAGGGGGGAAUAUUGCACAAUGGGCGGAAGCCUGAUGCAGCAACGCCGCGUGCGGGAUGACGGCCUUCGGGUUGUAAACCGCUUUCGCCUGUGACGAAGCGUGAGUGACGGUAAUGGGGAAAGAAGCACCGGCGAACUACGU